RNA transcript from Phacochoerus africanus (Common warthog), 1523 nucleotides. It is a transcript of the gene named mitochondrial ribosomal protein L44, with no coding region annotated. The transcript has 6 exons. The record is from RefSeq and is a predicted model, not a curated record. NCBI's taxonomy places the organism in Eukaryota, Metazoa, Chordata, Mammalia, Artiodactyla, Suidae.
CUCUUUUCCUUCCGCCCUCCAUUGCUUUCUCCCCUGCAAUGGCAUCCGGGCUGGUGAGGCUGCUGCAGUGGGGACCUCGCCGCCUCCUGGCACCGGCCGCCCCGAUUCUCGCCCCGCCAGUUCGGGGAGCAAAGAAGGGGUUCCGCGCCGCCUACCGCUUCCAGAAGGAGUUGGAGCGGUGGCGCCUCCUCAGGUGCCCUCCGCCGCCCGUGCGCCGUUCAGAGAAGCCCAACUGGGAUUACCAUGCUGAAAUACAAGCCUUUGGCCAUCGGUUACAGGAAACCUUUUCCCUAGAUCUUCUCAAAACUGCAUUUGUUAAUAGCUGCUAUAUUAAAAGUGAGGAGGCCAAACGCCAUAAACUUGGAAUAGACAAAGAAGCUGCUCUUCUGAACCUUAAAGAUAAUCAAGAACUAUCUGAACAAGGGAUAUCUUUUUCACAAACUUGCCUCACACAAUUUUUUGAGGACGCCUUCCCAGACUUGCCCGCUGAAGGCGUUACAAGUCUAGUUGACUUUCUCACCAGUGAGGAAGUUGUGUGUCAUGUGGCUAGAAACCUGGCUGUGGAGCAGUUAGCGCUGAGUGCAGAGUUUCCCGUUCCCCCGCCUGUGUUACGGCAGACUUUCUUUGCAGUGAUUGGAGCCCUCUUACAGAGCAGUGGACCAGAGAGGACUGCACUUUUCAUCAGGGACUUCUUAAUUACUCAAAUGACUGGAAAAGAACUCUUUGAGAUGUGGACGAUAACAAAUCCUAUGGGGUUACUGGUAGAAGAACUGAAGAAAAGGAAGAUUUCAGCUCCCGAAUCUAGACUUACUAGGCAGUCUGGAAGCACCACAGCUCUCCCUGUAUAUUUUGUUGGCUUAUACUGUGAUAGAAAGUUGAUUGCGGAAGGUCCUGGGGAGACAGUGCUGGUUGCGGAAGAAGAAGCUGCCCGAGUGGCCCUUAGGAAACUCUUUGGGUUCACCGAGAAUCGCCGGCCCUGGGACUAUUCCAAGCCCAAAGAGCAUGUCAGAGCAGAAAAGACCAUCACUGCCAGCUAGCCAGCCAAAGAGAUGGCAGCCUGAAAUUGUGAGCAAAACGGUGCCUGUCUUCACUUCCUUUUCAGGAUAAAGACUCAAAGGCCAACAAGACAUAGAGCUUUCAACUUAUUUGGGUCAGCGCCUCCCCUUUUUCCACUGUAUCUCAGGCAGCACUGAAAGUCCCUCUCUCAUCAAGUAUCAAAAGAAUAUCUACAGAGCAAGUGAAGAGUCAGACACCCACUUCCAGCGUGUGGGUUUUUUCCCCCACACCAGCUGGGUGUCCUGCAGUUCAACUCAACUGGGACAUCAUUUACCUGGAGACAGCAUCAGAUUCCAAGGGGAAGGGCUCAGGCCCACAAGACUGCUCCCCGCUUCGGAUGCCACCUGCAAGCCCAGGUUACCCCCCGGGCUUCUUACUGACCUACUGGCUGUAAAUCAGAGGUUCCCACAAUCCCCUCCGCAGGUUUGAUGACUUUGCUAAAGUGGUUCACGGGAUGCAGAAAAACA